Rana temporaria (common frog) is the source of this 205-nucleotide long non-coding RNA. RefSeq lists it as uncharacterized. The record is from RefSeq and is a predicted model, not a curated record. The transcript is spliced from 3 exons. Lineage: Eukaryota; Metazoa; Chordata; Amphibia; Anura; Ranidae.
UUACCUGCAUAAUGGUCCGGGGCUGAAGUGGUUAAAAUGUUAACCAUGUUUGUUUGUGAAAGGCGGUUCUCACUUAUCUAAGUCAUGGUAUAUCUAGUAGACGGUCACCUUCGGACUUUCUGUAAUGUAUUAGAACUUAGGAAGCUGCUUGGUUGAGAAGCAAAAUGGCAGCAACAUUACAGAUCACUGGCCCGGAUUCAGAAAG